CCUACGGGAGGCAGCAGUGGGGAAUAUUGGGCAAUGGGCGCAAGCCUGACCCAGCAACGCCGCGUGAAGGGCGAAGGCUUUCGGGUUGUGAGCUGGUGGUCUCAGGGACGAAGAAAGUGACGGUACCUGAGGAAUAAGCCACGGCUAACUACGUGCCAGCAGCCGCGGUAAUACGUAGGUGGCAAGCGUUAUCUGGAUUUACUGGGUGUAAAGGGCGUGUAGGCGGGACUGCAAGUCAGAUGUGAAAACCACGGGCUCAACCUGUGGCCUGCAUUUGAAACUGUAGUUCUUGAGUACUGGAGAGGCAGACGGAAUUCCUAGUGUAGCGGUGAAAUGCGUAGAUAUUAGGAGGAACACCAGUGGCGAAGGCGGUCUGCUGGACAGCAACUGACGCUGAGGCGCGAAAGCGUGGGGAGCAAACAGGAUUAGAUACCCUUGUAGUC
RNAcentral lists this ribosomal RNA (443 nucleotides) under uncultured bacterium. Its description in RNAcentral is "partial 16S ribosomal RNA". It matches the Rfam family "Bacterial small subunit ribosomal RNA", at positions 338 to 795 of the family's 1533-position model. The record is from RNAcentral.